Molecule: ribosomal RNA, 814 nt
Filed under: uncultured bacterium
Lineage: Bacteria
Description: bacterial SSU rRNA
Rfam family: Bacterial small subunit ribosomal RNA
Source: RNAcentral
UNUGACUUGAGUGCAGAAGGGGAGAGUGGAAUUCCAUGUGUAGCGGUGAAAUGCGUAGAUAUAUGGAGGAACACCAGUGGCGAAAGCGGCUCUCUGGUCUGUCACUGACGCUGAGGCUCGAAAGCGUGGGUAGCGAACAGGAUUAGAUACCCUGGUAGUNCACGCCGUAAACGAUGAGUGCUAGGUGUUAGGCCCUUUCCGGGGCUUAGUGCCGGAGCUAACGCAAUAAGCACUCCGCCUGGGGAGUACGACCGCAAGGUUGAAACUCAAAGGAAUUGACGGGGGCCCGCACAAGCGGUGGAGCAUGUGGUUUAAUUCGAAGCAACGCGAAGAACCUUACCAGGUCUUGACAUCCCGAUGCUAUUCUUAGAGAUAGGAAGUUACUUCGGUACAUCGGAGACAGGUGGUGCAUGGUUGUCGUCAGCUCGUGUCGUGAGAUGUUGGGUUAAGUCCCGCAACGAGCGCAACCCUUAUUGUUAGUUGCCAUCAUUAAGUUGGGCACUCUAGCGAGACUGCCGGUAAUAAACCGGAGGAAGGUGGGGAUGACGUCAAAUCAUCAUGCCCCUUAUGACCUGGGCUACACGCGUGCUACAAUGGUCGGUACAACGAGUUGCGAGCCGGUGACGGCAAGCUAAUCUCUGAAAGCCGAUCUCAGUUCGGAUUGGAGGCUGCAACUCGCCUCCAUGAAGUCGGAAUCGCUAGUAAUCGCGGAUCAGCACGCCGCGGUGAAUACGUUCCCGGGCCUUGUACACACCGCCCGUCACACCACGAGAGUUUGUAACACCCGAAGUCGGUGAGGUAACCUUUUAGGGGC